AAGAGUUUUACCUGUGUGCGGAUUGUAUAUUUUAUAGAUGUGUGGACUGUCAGUUUGUUCUGCGUGCGGUGAAGUUCGUGUGUAAUCGUUGUUGGUUAUUCGUCCUUGUGUAUUGUUUGAAUACAGCACCUAAAUAUGAAUAAUACUCCAGACUCGGAAGGAAAUGGUUGCGGCAGAGGCAGAGGUCGUGGCCAUGUAGACUGGUCCAAACCAUUACGCCGCCCACAUCAGAGCACAAUUACUCCAGGGAAAAUACAGGAGGGACCAACAACAUAUGCUGAUUGUGCUGAGGCAGCUGGAUUGCCUGGAAAUUCUGAACAGGUCACUGGAGCAGGACUUACAGUCCAAGAUCCUCAGUGUGAAAGUCUUGAAAAAGAUGUACUAUGCUUCAUGUCUAAUUUUAUAAUGGAGGUAACUAAUUCACCAGGUAGUUUUGAAUUUGAGUCGGAGGUGGCACUGAGAGAUUUAAAUAACUGGGCAACAAAUGCAGCAAUUACACAAAAAGUAUCUAUGAUGAUUGUUGAAGAGUCCAUCACACAACCAAAUUUUAGGUACAGUGGUGCAAGGCUUUGCAGCACAUUGAUCAAAAAAUGUCAAGAUAUGCAACUAGAUACGUUUUGGGACAGUUUAAAUUCUGAGUUGAAAAAAGAAAGAGAAAAAGCCACUGAUCUGCUUCAUGAAAAUCCAGAGAGACUUCGUGGUUUCCUGAUGUUUUUGGCUGAGCUCUUUGUGCAGCUUGAAGGGGAAACUUUUCUUUGCACUGAAAUUUGUUACAUUAUAGAUCUUCUGCUAUUCAAUGAGAUGCCGGAAAAUGUGAAGCGUGUAUGCCAGACGUUAAAACUGGCUGGCAGAUACAUAGAUUCGAUGGAUACUGUUGCAAUGGAUAGAAUCAUGAAUAAACUUUGUAAAUUAACAAAUAAAGCCACAUGUGAUAAAAGUUUAUCAUGUCAGAUAAUGUCUGUGGCAGAACUCCGCAGGGCAAGUUGGGGCAGUAAUGUGAAUGAAGCACCAAACCAAAAUUCAGAGCCCUCAGUGGUUAAUGUCGGAAGUGAUCCAAUUUUUUAUGGUCCUGAUGGCAGUAUUCUGUCUGCAGAGGAGAGUAAAUUCCUUGAAGAGAAUUACGAAGAAGUAGGAACAGCUGGUGAAGAUGAUAUGGUAAUUUGGGAUUAUGAGGAUCCAAUGAAUGGACUAGAUGAUGCAUUUGAGGAAUUCCUGAGGUUCUCAAAACAGCAGUAAAAUUAUGUGAGCUGAAAUCUUGUGACUUGUGACAACUGAAGUUAUGAUGAUGAGAGCAGUAGUGGGAAUAGCUUGUGCUGUGAAAAUCUCAUCACAAAAACAGUAAUUCUUAAGAUAUAGAACAUCAUCGACAUCAAUGCCACCGAAGACUGUCGACACUAAUGUCAACAUCUGACAUUAGACAACUAGCAUUUUUUUCUUGACAGUUUUAUACAUGCAGAAGGCUUGUGAAUUAUGUUUUCAGAUGAAGAUUAUGAAUACAGUAAACUCUGGAUUAUGUAAAUGGUGAGAAGGUGAUGAAAAUAGCACAAAGGCAAGAAACUGGAAAUGAGAAAUACUGUCUAUAUAAAAAUGUUUUGCAUUUUUGUUAGUAUAAAUUGCAAGGUCUUUAAACUUUCAGAAAAUAGAAUUUGUUUGCUUUCAGUAGUUCCUGGUUUACUACAAAAACUGCAAAUAAUACUCAAAUACUUUCACUGACUGGGGGCUUAAAAAAUCAAAUCAAAUCAAGGAGAUCCAUUUCAAAAUGAGGAAUUACAAGAAUCUCAACAGAAGUUUGAGAAGAAAUGGGGACCAAAGUUAUAAAAUUCAGAUUUUACUGUAUUUUCCUUUAUAUUAGUACCUGAUUUUUUUAAUUUAUACGAGUUCUCCAGCAAGGUGUGUGUGUGUGUGUGUGUGUGUGUGUGUUUGUUUGUUUUGUAGUAAUUAUGCCUAUUGUUUUCAUUUCAUACUAAGUUAUUUGUAAUAGUAUUUCAAAACAGCAUUUAUUAUAAAUGAAUUAUGUUUUCAUUUUUUAUUGUUGCUUUUCUUUUACUGUUUCCAAGAUUGGUGAAGUGCUAUACAAACCCUGAAAUGUACUUAUUUUGUCUUUGUGUUUCUCUCUCUCUCUCUCUCUCUCUCUCUCUCUCUCUGUGUGUGUGUGUGUGUGUGUGUGUGUGUGUGUGUGUGUGUUUGGUGAAGUGCUAUACAAACCCUGAAAUGUACUUAUUUUGUCUUUGUUUUUGUUUGUUUGUUUGUGUGUGUGUGUGUGUGUGUGUGUGUGUGUGUGUGUGUGUGUGUGUGUCUGUCUGUCAGUUUUUAUAUCUAUUUUGGAAUAAUUACUACUAGUCAAUGCAAUUGGUGAUGAAAAUCAUGUGAGAUUUUACUGUCAGUCAGUUUUGUCUUUCACACACCAAGAUCUUUUAGCUGUGUAGCAAAGAUUUCAUUUUUACUGCUGGUGAUUAGUGUAGUGUAAAUGUGAAUCAUCUGUUGCUUUCAAAAAUUCAAAAAAAUAUUUAUUUUCAUAAACUUGUUAAUAAAUGAUAGUUCAUCCAGUGAAAUCUAUAAGAAACGCAUGCACUAAAUGAAAAUCGCACAGUAAUUUAUAAAAUUGCAAAUGAUAUUGAGAGAUUUUAUUGUUGUAUUCUUGUUUUUCUUGUUCUGCUGUUUUACUGGUUGUGAUGAAAACUGUCUUCAGGUAGGUACAUUGGACUGUGUAACAAUGAAUUAUGUUCAGUUAAGUCUGAUUUGUUGAGGUAAUGCUAAGAGUGAUUCAGCCUUUGAAAAUUGUUUGAUCUAUCAUUGUUAAGAAUUUUUUGUUUAUAAUAUGUGUAGUGGUAAAUGUAGUUGUGUAAAUAGUAUUAUCAAUUCUUUUGUGGAUGUCGGUACACUCAUAAAUGUUUAUAACAAAAUAUGUAUUUUCUUAAAUAAAAAAAAAGUAAUGUUGGAUGUAAAAGUGUGCAAUGUGUAGAAGAAAUCUGUGUUCAGUGGAUUAUAGAAACUUCUGGUAUUGUAUCAAGAGAUUAAAAAUUUAAAGAACGUUCACAUAUCGACAAUUUGUAAUUGAGUUAUUGAUGUUUUUAUUUAUAAAUAAAGGUACUAUUUUCCAAUCGGU
This is an RNA transcript of Schistocerca nitens (vagrant locust), 3106 nucleotides long. It is a transcript of the gene named polyadenylate-binding protein-interacting protein 1, with no coding region annotated. The transcript is spliced from 11 exons. The record is from RefSeq and is a predicted model, not a curated record. NCBI's taxonomy places the organism in Eukaryota, Metazoa, Arthropoda, Insecta, Orthoptera, Acrididae.